Molecule: ribosomal RNA, 388 nt
Filed under: uncultured bacterium
Lineage: Bacteria
Description: bacterial SSU rRNA
Rfam family: Bacterial small subunit ribosomal RNA
Source: RNAcentral
GACGAACGCUGGCGGCGUGCUUAACACGUGCAAGUCGAGCGGUAAGGCCCUUUCGGGGGUACACGAGCGGCGAACGGGUGAGUAACACGUGGGUGACCUGCCCUCAGCUCUGGGAUAAGCCUGGGAAACCGGGUCUAAUACCGGAUAUGACUCCAUGACGCAUGUUGUGGGGUGGAAAGCCUUGUGCGGCUGAGGAUGGGCCCGCGGCCUAUCAGCUUGUUGGUGGGGUGAUGGCCACCAAGGCGACGACGGUAGCCGGCCUGAGAGGGCGACCGGCCACACUGGGACUGAGACACGGCCCAGACUCCUACGGGAGGCAGCAGUGGGGAAUCUUGCGCAAUGGGCGAAAGCCUGACGCAGCGACGCCGCGUGAGGGAUGACGGCCUGG